AGGAUGUCGCUGUAUUGUGCUGCUUC
This 26-nucleotide non-coding RNA is filed under the name Homo sapiens (human). The record is from RNAcentral. Lineage: Eukaryota; Metazoa; Chordata; Mammalia; Primates; Hominidae.